AUUAGCUGUGCCCUGCAAACAUCAUUAGGAAGGGAGACGCUUUCCACCGUCAGCGCCGGAGCAGAGCAGGGGAGCCCUGGCAACAAGGAGAGACAAACUCAGCAGCCCGUUACACCCUACAGGAAUAGUGACAGCACCUGCAGACACACAGACGUGGACAGACGGCGCAGGCACCCCGGAACGCUUCCCUCCCGCUGGUGGAGAGAUUCAGACUUCACACCAGGAACUGCAGCUCCAGUCGGUUGUCAGCUCUCCACUGAGCAGCAGGCUCCACCUACUCCGCCCAAGCAGCUCUGCCUCCUCGGCUCAGUCUCUAUCCACGCUCAAUCUUCUUCCUCCCUCCUCUUCUCCUCCUUUCUGUAUCCUCACCCGCCACUGUCGGAGCUCCUCCGUCGGUCCUUUAUCUCCGUCUCACCAGCUGUGUGCUGAAGCUCCAUGCUCUCCUACGGGGGAGAGUAGAAUGAAUAGAAAGGGCUUACUGAGGACAGUGAGAAAGCCAAUCCCUGCCUUUCGUCUCGUUGAACACGUCUCCUGUCGUGUCCUCUCCUCUCCUCUGUCCUAA
This 562-nucleotide long non-coding RNA is filed under the name Cottoperca gobio. RNAcentral describes it as "lncRNA (ENSCGOG00000005228.1)". The record is from RNAcentral. Lineage: Eukaryota; Metazoa; Chordata; Actinopteri; Perciformes; Bovichtidae.